UGCAAGCGUUAAUCGGAAUUACUGGGCGUAAAGCGCACGCAGGCGGUCUGUCAAGUCGGAUGUGAAAUCCCCGGGCUCAACCUGGGAACUGCAUUCGAAACUGGCAGGCUAGAGUCUUGUAGAGGGGGGUAGAAUUCCAGGUGUAGCGGUGAAAUGCGUAGAGAUCUGGAGGAAUACCGGUGGCGAAGGCGGCCCCCUGGACAAAGACUGACGCUCAGGUGCGAAAGCGUGGGGAGCAAACAGGAUUAGAUACCCUGGUAGUCCACGCCGUAAACGAUGUCGAUUUGGAGGUUGUGCCCUUGAGGCGUGGCUUCCGGAGCUAACGCGUUAAAUCGACCGCCUGGGGAGUACGGCCGCAAGGUUAAAACUCAAAUGAAUUGACGGGGGCCCGCACAAGCGGUGGAGCAUGUGGUUUAAUUCGAUGCAACGCGAAGAACCUUACCUGGUCUUGACAUCCACAGAACUUUCCAGAGAUGGAUUGGUGCCUUCGGGAACUGUGAGACAGGUGCUGCAUGGCUGUCGUCAGCUCGUGUUGUGAAAUGUUGGGUUAAGUCCCGCAACGAGCGCAACCC
RNAcentral lists this ribosomal RNA (572 nucleotides) under Klebsiella pneumoniae. Its description in RNAcentral is "bacterial SSU rRNA". It matches the Rfam family "Bacterial small subunit ribosomal RNA", at positions 533 to 1104 of the family's 1533-position model. The record is from RNAcentral. Lineage: Bacteria; Pseudomonadati; Pseudomonadota; Gammaproteobacteria; Enterobacterales; Enterobacteriaceae.